RNAcentral lists this long non-coding RNA (3965 nucleotides) under Salmo salar (Atlantic salmon). RNAcentral describes it as "lncRNA (ENSSSAG00000111725.1)". Lineage: Eukaryota; Metazoa; Chordata; Actinopteri; Salmoniformes; Salmonidae. The record is from RNAcentral.
GAGUUACCUCUGCUGCAGAGGAUGUUCAUUAGAGUUAACUGCACCUCAGGUUGCAGCCCAAAUAAAUGCUUCAGAGUUCAAGUAACAGACACAUCUCAACAUCAAUUGUUCAGAGGAGACUGCCUGAAUCAGGCCUUCGUGGUCAAAUUGCUGCAAAGAAACCACCAAUUUGAAGAAGAGACUUGCUUGGGCAAAGAAACACGAGCAAUGGACAUUAGACCGGUGGAAAUCUGUCCUUGAGUCGAGUCCAAAUGUGAGAUUUUUAGUUCCAACCAACGUGUCUUUGUGAGACGCAGAGUAGGUGAACAGAUGAUCUCCUCAUGUGGUUCCCACCCUGAAGCGUGGGGGUGCCUUGCUGGUGACACUGAUUUUAUUUAGAAUUCAAGGCACACUUAACCAGCAUGGCUACCACAGCAUUCUGCACCGAUACGCCAUGCCAUCUGGUUUAUGCUUCGUCCCACUAUCAUCUGUUUUUCAACAGGGCAAUGACCCAAAAUACACCUCCAGGCUGUGUAAGGGCUAUUUGACCAAGGAGAGUGAUGGAGUGCUGCAUCAGAUGACCUGGCCUUCGCAAUCACCCGACCUUAACCAAUUGAGAUGGUUUGGGAUGAGUUGGACCUCCGAGUGAAGGAAAAGUAACCAAGUGCUCAGCAUAUGUGGUAACUCCUUCAAGACCGUUGGAAAAGCAUUCCUCAUGAAGCUGGCUGAGAGAAUGCCCAGAGUGUGCAAAGCUGUCAAAGGCAAAAGCAAUACUUUGUCCUGCUAAUCAUCACCGAUGGCGAGAUCACGGACCUGGACCAGACCCGUGACGCCAUCGUCAAGGCCUCACGGCUGCCCAUGUCCAUCAUCAUCAUCGGGGUGGGGGAAGCAGACUUCAAGGCCAUGGAGCUGCUAGAUGGAGACGACGGCGUACUCAAGUCCCUGAGUGGCGAGCCCGUGACCAGGGAUAUUGUGCAGUUUGUGCCUCUCAGACAGUUUGCCAAUGCCCCUAAGGAAGCCCUCGCCCAGAGUGUCUUGGCUGAAGUGCCCAAUCAACUUGUGUCCUACUUCAAGAUGCUGAAACUGGAUCCAGUCAACAUUCCUGCCCUCAAAGCUUAGUGGAGCAAGCAGAACUGCAGCACUUUGCAUUCCUAGCCACAUGAGGGAGACGGGUUAUGCCCACUGUUUGAUGUGAAAAUCCUGAAAUUAUUUCAUACUGUCAAUGCUCAUUUUGCCUUUUAAUGCCACUUAUGACAAUUCUGACCAUAUAUAAUUUUUUCCUACAUUCAUAGAUAUUUCUCAUUCUUUGCUGCUUCAGAUAUUCUUCUUUCAUUCCUCUGGAAGUAACAAGGAGUUCAAGAAGGGUGAUGUUAAAAAAUUGUGGAAAAGGAGAGCUUUAAAUAAAUCUAAAAUAAUAAUGCAGUUCAUGAAAUGCAGCUUCAAAACAUUUGAUGAAAUAAAGUAGGCUACUCGCGUAACAUAAAAAGUCUGAACUCCUCGAUCAGACCAAGAGCGUCAUUGGUACACCAAAACGCAUUGUUGCAGUGUGUUCUGUGUGGCGCAUACAUGGAUUUACCCAACGUAUGCAUUAAAUUGUAUUUGUAUACUUGACGGAAAUAGUAACAAAAGUUGAAUGUUGAACUUGUUGCACACAUCCAGAAACACAAUUGUAUUACGUAAUGAAAAAAGUUUGACCUCAGAAUUUAUUAUGCAGCAUUGACGCAAUGAUGCUGUAGGUCUGAUCAAGGCGUUACUGGUGGUACAUCUUCAAAAUAAUAAUAAUGGCCACAAAUGCUUAGAGCUUGCACUGCACGUUACAUGUUUCUAAAGGCUUCUGCAUGCUUUGGUUCGGCUGGCACCUAGCAGAAAUCGGCUAGGUGAACCGAACGAGUGUGCUUGCAUACUCCCUUAAAAAAAAGCAGCGAUAGUACUGUUUGUCCAACUUGAGACUCCAUAGCCAGUAUACACUUCCUCAAAAUAGUCUGAGAACUGAAGAAAUCUGUCUAAAUUUUUACAUUGUUGAAUGACCAAUGACUGACGAAGGGGCGUAGACUUCGGCUACCGAAAUUCAGCUUGCCUCAAAGUUUUUUUUGUGUACAAACAGACCAAAAAAACUUUCUGGAGACCAAAACAAUCAAAAAAACAUCAAUGUCGUCCUAAUAUAUGCACACACUAUGCCGAACUGUUUCGGAUGGGAAGCAUGCGGACGCCUUUUGUCUCGUGUGGCCAGCCUUUCAAAUCCCCUAUUGGAAGUCUGGCCAUCUUCAGAUUUGGAUUUUUGAGUUUGAAGUGGCUGCAUUCGUUUUGUAUCUUGUACAUGUUCACGUGUUGCAAGUCAGAAUGUUUUUUUUUUUUACAUCUCUUUGGAACUAUACCAAACUCCAAUUUAGAACCUCAGACUUUAACACAAUGUGUUUCUUAGCCGUAUUCGUCAGGCAGUGGCAUAGUGUGUAAGUGUGUUUGUAGCCUACUUUGUUUUUUUCUUAGGGGAUGCUUCACUUUAUUUUCAUUGCAAAGAUGCUUCCUCCGUUAUAGAGGUUAGGCAGGGUGAUCCUACGUUAUCAGUGCAAGCAACUUCAUUUCCUAUUUGUGUUUAUUACAUCUUGGCCAUUAUCACUCGGUAUUCCACCACUCAAACACUUGUGCAUGGUCUUUUGCACUGCUUAUUAACCUUUAUGCAAUGUAUGUCACAUUAUGAGAGCUGGUAUUAUACACCACCUUGCACUUAAUAUUCUUGAAAAGUGUAUAUGUCACAAAUGCCAAAAUGUAAACAUAACUGGAGACAGUCAUUUUUAGAGGCAUGACGCAAUAGGAUUGGUAGCUAGCUAACUCUAAAUCAAUCUAUAAAACUCUAGCGUGCUAACUUGAAACAAAACUGAUGUGGCUCCAGUAAUGUUCACAUUUUAACGUUUGUGAUGUAUCCAAUUUAGAAUGGUAUUCUCAUGCUGGAGAUUAAUUAGAAAUGUAUGCUCAAUCAUUUUAAUCUGCUGCAAUAGAAUAUAUGCUAUGGAUUGCUAAAGUUUUGUACCGAAGAUAAAUAAAAUGUGCCUUAGAGUAGUGCUGUAGAACUUCUCAAAUUGUUUACUACCCCCAUUUGAACACCAUAUUAUUAGGAAAUUGGUAUCGAUCCAGAUGUUAGAUGCUUUCGCCUAUUCCAUUUUCUCCCUAAAACAAUGGAAACUAAAAUUAUAGAUUUGAGAACGAUGUAAUGAUGGUAUGUAUUUUACAUUAUAGGGUCGUCCCACAUUAAUUAAAUCUAAAAGUGGCUGUGUUUGAGCAUACCCCUUUUGAUUAGAACAAAUGAAUCAUAUUUCUCUGAUUUAAAUUAUACCCUCCCUGUAAUCAAGUGUGCUGUGUCACAACCGAUGGUGGGGACAACAAACGCCACAGAUUUUUUAAAUAAGGUCUCCGCUACAAUAUUGUGAAAAUGAAAAACACUUGAGUUUGUGAGUUUAGAUAAUUGAUUAACUGUUUUUAAAGAAAUUAUUAAACAACCUUAUACUCUGAGACAGUGAGACGACCUAAUGAUGGCUCUUUUUCAAAGGGGUCUGCAAUUAUAAUUAAGACAAAUGUUCUAUUAUAUUUUUAUUUUAUCAUUUACGAAAAAGAGUUCUCUGUAUGCCAUGAAUCUGGUUUGCUUUAGUAAUGUGCUUUUGGGUGUAAUCUACACAUUUGAACAGAAUCUUCAUUUUCUUUGUUCUUGCCCCACAUUGUUUGGGUUACACAGGGCCAUGGGAUUGAUUUUGUGUUCGUUAUACAGCGAGACGGUGAUGGCAGCAUAUGUGCCAUGUAGAUUAGAAAAAAACACUUUCUAACUUUUAAUGCCAACCAGUUGUCAAUAAGUGUUUAUCUUAUGAGAUUUAACUCAAUUAAGGAGACAACACAUUAUAUAAAAAUGAAAUGUAAUUGUAACCAAGAGACCAUAACCUUAUGUAAGCCAUACCAACAUUCAGCCAAUUAUAUUUAGAAUGCUUUCGUUAUCACCC